RNAcentral lists this ribosomal RNA (468 nucleotides) under uncultured bacterium. Its description in RNAcentral is "partial 16S ribosomal RNA". It matches the Rfam family "Bacterial small subunit ribosomal RNA", at positions 28 to 507 of the family's 1533-position model. The record is from RNAcentral.
GACGAACGCUGGCGGCGUGCUUAGCACAUGCAAGUCGAACGGAAAGGCCCUGCUUUUGUGGGGUGCUCGAGUGGCGAACGGGUGAGUAACACGUGAGUAACCUGCCCUUGACUUUGGGAUAACUUCAGGAAACUGGGGCUAAUACCGGAUAGGAGCUCCUGCUGCAUGGUGGGGGUUGGAAAGUUUCGGCGGUUGGGGAUGGACUCGCGGCUUAUCAGCUUGUUGGUGGGGUAGUGGCUUACCAAGGCUUUGACGGGUAGCCGGCCUGAGAGGGUGACCGGCCACAUUGGGACUGAGAUACGGCCCAGACUCCUACGGGGGGCAGCAGUGGGGAAUAUUGCACAAUGGGCGGAAGCCUGAUGCAGCGACGCCGCGUGCGGGAUGACGGCCUUCGGGUUGUAAACCGCUUUCGCCUGUGACGAAGCGUGAGUGACGGUAAUGGGUAAAGAAGCACCGGCUAACUACGUG